Molecule: non-coding RNA, 92 nt
Organism: Mycena latifolia
Lineage: Eukaryota; Fungi; Basidiomycota; Agaricomycetes; Agaricales; Mycenaceae
Source: the annotation of a GenBank genome assembly
GACCCAGUGGCGGACGGUCCGCGUCUGUCUCCAUUUCACGUAUCCUACCCUUUCGAUAGCAGAAGGCGCCCGUUCGACUCGGGCCUGGGUCA